GAAAGGAAGCAGAGGGAGCUUGCUGUAGGGGCUCCCCAGUCAGUGCUGGAGGAUGUGGUGGGUGAAUUAGAGCCUCCCUCCCACCAUGAAGAGGCUCCAAUACACUCACCUAACCCUCCAGCAAGGAGCUGAAAAACCCCAGACUGAACUCCUUCUACUUCCUUUCCCCCUCCCAUUCUGAAAACAGCCACAGGCUGGCUGGCAGAGCAGAUGCAAGUUACAGAAAACAUUAUGUUUUAAAAUGUCUUUGUCUGAACCUUCAUGCUAUGCACUGGGGUUUGAUCACAGCUAUAGAUCACUUUCUGUGGCCAGAUUGUGCAAAGUUUGUCACUUCUGUCUGAACCCUGAGUCCUAUUUCUCUAUCACUGCAGGAAUCAAAUAGCAGGAGAGACUUUCUUUACUCACAGUUCCAAGCUGCAGUAAGCACUUAGCCAAAAAAAUUCAGGGGCUUAUACGUAGCAUACCUAUUUCCCUGGCUACCUGUGGUUCUUUCUUGUUGCCAUCUCUGUUUCUGCCUAGCUUUUUCUGCUUCUUUUUGCUGUUUCUUACAUAUACCUUAUCCAACCCUGCAAUUGAUUUCAGUCCCCCAUGAAACCCUUCCACUUCAUGAUUCAUGAAUGUGGUCUGUAUUUUAGCCACAGGCUCCUAGUCUUACAGCUAUCCACUCCAUGAAGGGGUUUGUCUACUUUUCCAUUUUUGCCUCAACAAGGAGUGGCUAUUAUUUUCUGUAUUUUGAAAGUCUCAGUUUCAUUCUGGGGCAAAAUAAAGCACAUUUUCAAAUGUCAAAACGUUUUGCAAAGCAGAAUCACUGUUCUUUGCUCAGCCUCCUGUUCCUGCUGCUGCAAUGCCAGCUUCAGCUUGUGGCAGUUCUCCUCUCCAAGCCUGAGCUGCAGUAUAUAGUUAUAGCUGCUGUGGCUAUAAACUGCUUCUGCAGCUGCUGUGCUGCCCUAAUGAAGAUGUGGCAUUCAUAUCCAGACUUGCUCUUCUGCUCCAGGAUCCACUCUGCUGAUUCCUGCACCUGCAGAAAGCAGCUUAUGGGACUGGGAGCUGAACGCUGAAAAAGGGCCGGCUUAACCAAUUGUAUCAAGAUCUUUUGUCAGAAGGAUGGGAAGUAUUACAGCUCCUCUGGUCAGCAGGCAGCGUCCCUAAUUUGUCUGGUAUUUCCCUGAAGUUGAGUUUGGGGUAUAGAGAGACAAUUUACUACAGGGCCAAAGAAGGCAGGCAUACAUUGUGCAUCAGAUGCUUACUGUGCCCUUGUGCCCAUUCUUACCCUACUGGGAGUGAAAAGUAAAUAUGGUAAUUUGCCCUCUUCCUGAUUGCUAAACCACUAGAGUUAGCUUUCACUUACCUGUGGUGGCCAGAACCAGAGGGAUUAAUAAGCAAUAAAUAUGUGCUUCUUGGAGGCA
Molecule: long non-coding RNA, 1406 nt
Filed under: Crocodylus porosus (Australian saltwater crocodile)
Lineage: Eukaryota; Metazoa; Chordata; Crocodylia; Crocodylidae
Description: lncRNA (ENSCPRG00005008448.1)
Source: RNAcentral